Molecule: ribosomal RNA, 724 nt
Filed under: uncultured Fusobacterium sp.
Lineage: Bacteria; Fusobacteriati; Fusobacteriota; Fusobacteriia; Fusobacteriales; Fusobacteriaceae
Description: bacterial SSU rRNA
Rfam family: Bacterial small subunit ribosomal RNA
Source: RNAcentral
GAUGAACGCUGACAGAAUGCUUAACACAUGCAAGUCGACUCGAGUCUUCGGACUUGGGUGGUGCACGGGUGAGUAACGCGUAAAGAACUUGCCUCUUAGACCGGGACAACAUCUGGAAACGGAUGCUAAUACCGGAUAUUAUGGUUUUUUCGCAUGGAGGAAUCAUGAAAGCUGGAUGCGCUAAGAGAGAGCUUUGCGUCCCAUUAGCUAGUUGGUGAGGUAACGGCCCACCAAGGCAAUGAUGGGUAGCCGGCCUGAGAGGGUGAACGGCCACAAGGGGACUGAGACACGGCCCUUACUCCUACGGGAGGCAGCAGUGGGGAAUAUUGGACAAUGGACCACAAGUCUGAUCCAGCAAUUCUGUGUGCACGAUGACGUUUUUCGGAAUGUAAAGUGCUUUCAGUCGGGAAGAAGUCAGUGACGGUACCGACAGAAGAAGCGACGGCUAAAUACGUGCCAGCAGCCGCGGUAAUACGUAUGUCGCAAGCGUUAUCCGGAUUUAUUGGGCGUAAAGCGCGUCUAGGCGGCAAGGAAAGUCUGAUGUGCAAAUGCGGAGCUCAACUCCGUAUGGCGUUGGAAACUGCCUUACUAGAGUACUGGAGAGGUAGGCGGAACUACAAGUGUAGAGGUGAAAUUCGUAGAUAUUUGUAGGAAUGCCGAUGGGGAAGCCAGCCUACUGGACAGAUACUGACGCUAAAGCGCGAAAGCGUGGGUAGCAAACAGG